RNAcentral lists this ribosomal RNA (561 nucleotides) under Proteobacteria bacterium BvORHM093. Its description in RNAcentral is "bacterial SSU rRNA". It matches the Rfam family "Bacterial small subunit ribosomal RNA", at positions 102 to 659 of the family's 1533-position model. The record is from RNAcentral. Lineage: Bacteria; Pseudomonadati; Pseudomonadota.
ACGGGUGAGUAAUAUAUCGGAACGUGCCCAGUUGUGGGGGAUAGCCCGGCGAAAGCCGGAUUAAUACCGCAUACGACCUGAGGGUGAAAGCGGGGGAUCGCAAGACCUCGCGCAAUUGGAGCGGCCGAUAUCAGAUUAGCUAGUUGGUGGGGUAAAGGCCUACCAAGGCGACGAUCUGUAGCUGGUCUGAGAGGACGACCAGCCACACUGGGACUGAGACACGGCCCAGACUCCUACGGGAGGCAGCAGUGGGGAAUUUUGGACAAUGGGCGCAAGCCUGAUCCAGCCAUGCCGCGUGCGGGAAGAAGGCCUUCGGGUUGUAAACCGCUUUUGUCAGGGAAGAAACGGUCUGAACUAAUACUUUGGACUAAUGACGGUACCUGAAGAAUAAGCACCGGCUAACUACGUGCCAGCAGCCGCGGUAAUACGUAGGGUGCAAGCGUUAAUCGGAAUUACUGGGCGUAAAGCGUGCGCAGGCGGCUAUGCAAGACAGAUGUGAAAUCCCCGGGCUCAACCUGGGAACUGCAUUUGUGACUGCAUGGCUAGAGUACGGUAGAGGGG